GGCGAGGAGAGUGAAAAAGAACCUGAAACCGUGUACGUACAAGAAGUGGGAGCACAGGUUUACCUGUGUGACUGCGUACCUUUUGUAUAAUGGGUCAGCGACUUAUAUUCUGUAGCAAGGUUAACCGUAUAGGGGAGCCGCAGGGAAACCGAGUCUUAACCGGGCGUUAAGUUGCAGGGUAUAGACCCGAAACCCGGUGAUCUAGCCAUGGGCAGGUUGAAGGUUGGGUAACACUAACUGGAGGACCGAACCGACUAAUGUUGAAAAA
Molecule: ribosomal RNA, 268 nt
Filed under: Salmonella enterica subsp. enterica serovar Kentucky
Lineage: Bacteria; Pseudomonadati; Pseudomonadota; Gammaproteobacteria; Enterobacterales; Enterobacteriaceae
Description: partial 23S ribosomal RNA
Rfam family: Bacterial large subunit ribosomal RNA
Source: RNAcentral